Molecule: ribosomal RNA, 447 nt
Filed under: uncultured bacterium
Lineage: Bacteria
Description: bacterial SSU rRNA
Rfam family: Bacterial small subunit ribosomal RNA
Source: RNAcentral
UGGGGAAUCUUGGACAAUGGGCGCAAGCCUGAUCCAGCCAUGCCGCGUGAGUGAUGAAGGCCUUAGGGUUGUAAAACUCUUUCGCCGAGGACGAUAAUGACGGUACUCGGAGAAGAAGCUCCGGCUAACUUCGUGCCAGCAGCCGCGGUAAUACGAAGGGGGCUAGCGUUGUUCGGAUUUACUGGGCGUAAAGGGCGCGUAGGCGGCCCGUUUAGUCAGGCGUGAAAUGCCCGAGCUCAACUCGGGAAAUGCGCUUGAUACUGGCGGGCUUGAAUCCGGGAGAGGAUGGUGGAACUCCCAGUGUAGAGGUGAAAUUCGUAGAUAUUGGGAAGAACACCCGUGGCGAAGGCGGCCAUCUGGACCGGUAUUGACGCUAAAGCGCGACAGCGUGGGGAGCAAACAGGAUUAGAUACCCUCGUAGUCCCUGAGCGGGCUGGCAAGGCGCAU